UGAAUACGAGAUGCUACGGCAUCGAAGCAGUCUAUGUCAUACUUCCAAGAAAAGCUUGCACUGUCAUAAACAAAUAAUGCCUGUACCAUAACCGACACAGGUGGGUAGGUAGAGUAUACUAAGGGGCGCGAGAUAACUCUCUCUAAGGAACUCGGCAAAAUGACUCCGUAACUUCGGGAGAAGGAGUGCCUUAUUUAUAAGGUUGCAAUAACAAGAUCCAAGCAACUGUUUACCAAAAACACAGGUCUCCGCUAAGUCGUAAGACGAUGUAUGGGGGCUGACGCCUGCCCAGUGCCAGAAGGUUAAAGAAGUUGGUUAGCAUUCGCGAAGCUGAUAACUGAAGCCCUGGUGAACGGCGGCCGUAACCAUAACGGUCCUAAGGUAGCGAAAUUCCUUGUCGGGUAAGUUCCGACCCGCACGAAAGGCGUAAUUAUUUGGAUACUGUCUCAGAGAGGGGCUCGGUGAAAUAGACUUGUCUGUGAAGAUGCGGACUACCUGCACCUGGACAGAAAGACCCUAUGAAGCUUUACUGUAACUUGAAAUUGAAACUGGACUUUAUUCGCGCAGCAUAGGUGGGAGGCGUUGAGAAUAUUCUUAUGGGAAUAUUGGAGCCAUCAGUGAGAUACCACUCUUGUAAUGUUAGAUUUCUAACUUUGAAUCAUUAUCUGGUCAAAGAACAGUUUCAGGCGGGCAGUUUGACUGGGGCGGUCGCCUCCUAAAGGGUAACGGAGGCGCACAAAGGUUUCCUCUGAACGGGUAGAAAUCGUAUCUAGAGUGUAAAGGCAUAAGGAAGCUUGACUGUGAGACCUACAAGUCGAGCAGGGACGAAAGUCGGUCUUAGUGAUCUGACGGUGCUGAGUGGAAAGGCCGUCACUCAACGGAUAAAAGUUACUCUAAGGAUAACAGGCUGAUCUCCCCCAAGAGUUCACAUCGACGGGGAGGUUUGGCACCUCGAUGUCGACUCAUCGCAUCCUGGGGCGGUAGUACGUCCCAAGGGUUGGGCUGUUCGCCCAUGAAAGCGGUACGCGAGCUGGGUUCAGAACGUCGUGAGACAGUUCGGUCCAUAUCCGGUGUAGGCGUUAGAAUAUUGAGAGGAGCCUUCUUUAGUACGAGAGGACCGAGAAGGACAUACCUAUGGUGUACCAGUUAUCAUGCCAACGGUAAACGCUGGGUAGCUAUGUAUGGAGUGGAUAACCGCUGAAAGCAUCUAAGUGGGAAGCCCACCUCAAGAUAAGUAUUCUCAGC
Molecule: ribosomal RNA, 1245 nt
Filed under: metagenome
Description: bacterial LSU rRNA
Rfam family: Bacterial large subunit ribosomal RNA
Source: RNAcentral